GCUUUAUGUCCGGCCAAGAACAAUAAAUCAUCCGCUGGCUCCUCCCGUUGAGAUCGCUGGUGGUGAGUGGUUUGGUUGAUUCCUUGUUGCUGUCUCUGAUGAGCCCUCUUCCUACUACGCUGAGUGUUUGAUCUGCUCUGUUGAUGAGUUCAUCGGAGACAUUGCUGUUUCUCUACGACGAAUGUUUGAUCUACUCUGUUGAUGAGUUUAUGAACAUUUAUCCGGCGUUGCCGAGACGGACCAUCUCUUUAAUUACUACUACAGUUUCCUCACUUCCAACCACUCACCAUUUUCCCUGUUUUGCUUAAGUCAAGCAAUAAAGACUUUUUUACUUGCA
Non-coding RNA from Danio rerio (zebrafish), 337 nucleotides. The record is from RefSeq and is a predicted model, not a curated record. Lineage: Eukaryota; Metazoa; Chordata; Actinopteri; Cypriniformes; Danionidae.